CAUGAGCUUGUCAUUAUCUAAUAAUGACCGGAGCGACAGGGUAGUGGCCAUAGCUACAUAAAGAAAAACCAGACCUUAAUUAGUACACAAAUUAUUAAUACUAAAGACUUGGACUUUAGUCUAAAGUUUCUCCCAGUAUUUUUACGAACUGGUAGCCUCAACCUCCAAUUCGAGAAAUUACUUUAAUUCCUUAGUGGGUACUAGAAUCCACA
This 212-nucleotide long non-coding RNA is filed under the name Elaeis guineensis (African oil palm). RNAcentral describes it as "long non-coding RNA (EGUI_LNC058291)". Lineage: Eukaryota; Viridiplantae; Streptophyta; Magnoliopsida; Arecales; Arecaceae. The record is from RNAcentral.